Molecule: transfer RNA, 90 nt
Filed under: Solirubrobacteraceae bacterium
Lineage: Bacteria; Bacillati; Actinomycetota; Thermoleophilia; Solirubrobacterales; Solirubrobacteraceae
Description: tRNA-Ser
Rfam family: tRNA
About the family: Transfer RNA (tRNA) molecules are approximately 80 nucleotides in length. Their secondary structure includes four short double-helical elements and three loops (D, anti-codon, and T loops). Further hydrogen bonds mediate the characteristic L-shaped molecular structure. tRNAs have two regions of fundamental functional importance: the anti-codon, which is responsible for specific mRNA codon recognition, and the 3' end, to which the tRNAs corresponding amino acid is attached (by aminoacyl-tRNA synthetases). tRNAs cope with the degeneracy of the genetic code in two manners: having more than one tRNA (with a specific anti-codon) for a particular amino acid; and 'wobble' base-pairing, i.e. permitting non-standard base-pairing at the 3rd anti-codon position.
Source: RNAcentral
GGAGGGGUGCCGGAGUGGCUGAACGGGGCAGUCUCGAAAACUGUUGAAGGCGCAACCCGUCUUCCGGGGGUUCGAAUCCCCCUCCCUCCU